This 363-nucleotide ribosomal RNA is filed under the name uncultured bacterium. RNAcentral's name for it is "partial 16S ribosomal RNA". It matches the Rfam family "Bacterial small subunit ribosomal RNA", at positions 338 to 698 of the family's 1533-position model. The record is from RNAcentral.
CCUACGGGUGGCAGCAGUGAGGAAUAUUGGUCAAUGGCCGGAAGGCUGAACCAGCCAUGCCGCGUGAAGGUCAGUGCCCUAUGGGCGGUAAACCUCUUUUGUCCGGGAGCAAUAAUGGUCACGUGUGGCCAGACGAGAGUACCGUACGACUAAGCAUCAGCUAACUCCGUGCCAGCAGCCGCGGUCAUACGGGGGGUGCAAGCGUUAUCCGGAUUUAUGGGGUUUAAAGGUUGCGGAUGCGGGGGGGUAAGUCAGCGGGGAAAUGCCACCGCUCAACGGGGUGAAGUGCGAUUGAUACUGCCAGGCUGGAGUGCGGAUGCGGUGGGAGGAAUGUGUGGUGUAGCGGUGAAAUGCAUAGAGAUC